RNAcentral lists this ribosomal RNA (440 nucleotides) under uncultured bacterium. Its description in RNAcentral is "partial 16S ribosomal RNA". It matches the Rfam family "Bacterial small subunit ribosomal RNA", at positions 338 to 795 of the family's 1533-position model. The record is from RNAcentral.
CCUACGGGAGGCAGCAGUAGGGAAUAUUGCUCAAUGGGGGAAACCCUGAAGCAGCAACGCCGCGUGGAGGAUGAAGGUUUUCGGAUUGUAAACUCCUUUUGGUAGAGAAGAAAAUGACGGUACGUAACGAAUAAGGACCGGCUAACUCCGUGCCAGCAGCCGCGGUAAUACGGAGGGUGCAAGCGUUACUCGGACUCACUGGGCGUAAAGAGCGCGUAGGCGGGAUAGCAAGUCAGAUGUGAAAUCCUAUGGCUUAACCAUAGAACUGCAUUUGAAACUGUUAUUCUAGAGUAUGGGAGUGGUAGGUGGAAUUCUUGGUGUAGUGGUGAAAUCCUUAGAGAUCACGAGGAAUACUCAUUGCGAAGGCGACCUGCUAGACCAUAACUGACGCUGAUGCGCGAAAGCGUGGGGAGCAAACAGGAUUAGAUACCCUUGUAGUC